UGGGGAAUAUUGGGCAAUGGGCGUAAGCCUGACCCAGCAACGCCGCGUGAAGGAAGAAGGCUUUCGGGUUGUAAACUUCUUUUCUGAGGGACGAUAGUGACGGUACCUCAGGAAUAAGCCACGGCUAACUACGUGCCAGCAGCCGCGGUAAUACGUAGGUGGCAAGCGUUAUCCGGAUUUACUGGGUGUAAAGGGCGUGUAGGCGGGAUGGUAAGUCAGAUGUGAAAACUAUGGGCUCAACCCAUAGCCUGCAUUUGAAACUAUCGUUCUUGAGUGUUGGAGAGGCAGGCGGAAUUCCGUGUGUAGCGGUGAAAUGCGUAGAUAUACGGAGGAACACCAGUGGCGAAGGCGGCCUGCUGGACAAUAACUGACGCUGAGGCGCGAAAGCGUGGGGAGCAAACAGGAUUAGAUACC
This 414-nucleotide ribosomal RNA is filed under the name uncultured bacterium. Its description in RNAcentral is "bacterial SSU rRNA". It matches the Rfam family "Bacterial small subunit ribosomal RNA", at positions 355 to 786 of the family's 1533-position model. The record is from RNAcentral.